RNAcentral lists this ribosomal RNA (393 nucleotides) under uncultured bacterium. Its description in RNAcentral is "partial 16S ribosomal RNA". It matches the Rfam family "Bacterial small subunit ribosomal RNA", at positions 523 to 918 of the family's 1533-position model. The record is from RNAcentral.
AUACGGAGGAUGCGAGCGUUAUCCGGAUUUAUUGGGUUUAAAGGGUGCGCAGGCGGGCGAUUAAGUCAGCGGUGAACGGCUCGGGCUCAACCGGAGCAGUGCCGUUGAUACUGGUUGUCUUGAAUGCGGUACAGGCCGGCGGAAUGUGGCGUGUAGCGGUGAAAUGCAUAGAUAUGCCACAGAAAACCGAUAGCGAAGGCAGCUGGCCGGGCCUGCAUUGACGCUCAGGCACGAAAGCGUGGGGAUCGAACAGGAUUAGAUACCCUGGUAGUCCACGCUGUAAACGAUGGACACUCGUUGUCGGCGACAGACAGUCGGCGGCCAAGCGAAAGUGAUAAGUGUCCCACCUGGGGAGUACGGUCGCAAGGCUGAAACUCAAAUGAAUUGACGGGG